Bufo gargarizans (Asiatic toad) is the source of this 261-nucleotide long non-coding RNA. RefSeq lists it as uncharacterized. NCBI's taxonomy places the organism in Eukaryota, Metazoa, Chordata, Amphibia, Anura, Bufonidae. The transcript has 3 exons. The record is from RefSeq and is a predicted model, not a curated record.
AAUCCUUUAACGAGGAUCUAUUGGAGGGCAAGUCUGGUGCCAGCAGCCGCGCUAAUUCCAGCUCCAAUAGCGUAUAUUAAAGUUGCUGCAGUUAAAAAGCUUGUAGUUGGAUCUUGGGAUCGAGCUGGCGGUCCGCCGCGAGGCGAGCUACCGCCUGUCCCAGCCCCUGCCUCUCGGCGCCUCCCCGAUGCUCUUGACUGAGUGUCCCGGGGGCCCGAAGCGUUUACUUUGAAAAAAUUAGAGUGUUCAAAGCAGGCCGGG